Molecule: long non-coding RNA, 1389 nt
Organism: Sarcophilus harrisii (Tasmanian devil)
Lineage: Eukaryota; Metazoa; Chordata; Mammalia; Dasyuromorphia; Dasyuridae
Exons: 3
Source: RefSeq, a predicted model, not a curated record
CAAUUUCUAACUUCCGGUUCCUGGGGCUCCGGAAAUGGUCUUCAGCGGUGCGCCGAGUUUGAGUGUAGAACUCUCAGGCGCACGGUCCUGACUCUUAGUUGACAACUAGCUGGAAGGCAUAGUAUCCUGCUUGUUUUCAUAUCGACUCUUACAGCCGUGUGACUUCGGACUAGAACCUUCAUCUCUCUGAUCCAGGAUAAUAAUUGAUAAUAAUAAUAAUUAAUAAUAAUAAUAAUAAUAAUAAUAAUUGACCCUCUGAGAAAUGAACGAUAAUACCGCCAGUGCCUGCCCUGCGGGAAUAUCGUAGGGGAAACCUUUGGAUCAGCCCCGAAGGCCCAUCUACUGAAAUACUAGUGGAUUUUAUAAAGUAUCAAUCCGACAACCUUCCUCUAUCAGUCAGUCAACAAACAAGUACAGACCCUGCAAAUUGUUUGGGAUGUAAAGAAAAACAGUGUGGCCCCUCCCUCUAAGAAAUUCAUUAUGAUGGGGCACCAUCCCCCAAAUUAUCAAUUAUUAUAAAUAAUUAUAUAUACUGUAUAAAUUAAAGGUAGUCUUCAUGUUAUUAUUAUUAUAUAGUCUAUAUUGUAAAUUAUGAACCAUAAGGUGAAAUCGAAACCAGAAAAGCUAGGAGAGGAGUGCUCCUUGAGUGCCUAGCCAAAUUCUGGACUCAGAGCUGGAGGAGACCUCAAGAGAAACCUAGGCAAAAACACAAGGGGAAUUUCGGGAAAUUCCCAGCAAUAUCCUGAUCUAUAUCUCUGAAUGUCUCUGAAUGAGGACUGGGACAAAUCAUUGGAGAGGAAGGUGUAAAAUCCUAAAUCUAAGUGGUAUAACUUUGUGGAAGAUUGCAUGCUGGACCUCAGAAGUUAUACAAUCCAAUUUAUUAGCGAAGGGCUAAUUGAGGCCCAGAUUCAGCGAAUGGCUUGCUUCUGACUACAAAGUAUAAUAGUAGGAAGAGGUAGGAAAACGAAAAGAACAUUUAUUCACUGACUAUUGCGUUUUGAGGCAGGUGGAGUUUAGAUAAGAUAUGAUUAGAGAGAGACUGCAACAAAAAUGUAUUAAGUCUUCUGUGUUUUAAAUGCUGAGGUCGCAAUUCCUGACCUCAAGGAGCUCCCACUGCAAUGGGUAAGGCAACAUGCAAAUAGUAGCUUGUCACUUCAUAUCAUUAUAAAGUGCUGUUGACCCAGAAGCCACAAAGGAAAAAAAAAGAAUCUAAGAUCCAGUAGCAUUCCAGUAAAGCAAGGAAGUCCUAGGUAGAAACCUGCUGACCCAGGAAAGGAGAUACACCAACAGACCUCUGAACCCUUCCAAGGUAGCUUGGAGUUUCCUGACUAGAUUUUUUUCUUAAGGACCAUGCCUUUCAGCCCUCUUUGUAGUGGCUAGAAACUGGAA